RNAcentral lists this ribosomal RNA (247 nucleotides) under uncultured bacterium. RNAcentral describes it as "partial 16S ribosomal RNA". It matches the Rfam family "Bacterial small subunit ribosomal RNA", at positions 86 to 334 of the family's 1533-position model. The record is from RNAcentral.
AGAUGGCGACCGGCGCACGGGUGAGUAACACGUAUCCAACCUGCCGAUAACUCGGGGAUAGCCUUUCGAAAGAAAGAUUAAUACCCGAUGGUAUAAUCAGACCGCAUGGUUUGAUAUUUAAAGAAUUUCGGUUAUCGAUGGGGAUGCGUUCCAUUAGGCAGUUGGUGAGGUAACGGCUCACCAAACCUUCGAUGGAUAGGGGUUCUGAGAGGAAGGUCCCCCACAUUGGAACUGAGACACGGUCCAA